GGACAGAGCCAAGAAAUGCAGCACCUAUCUCGUUGCCUUGCCCAUGGCAAUGUUGGCAACUGUCACCAAGUCAACUUGGUCCUGGCAGGUGUAUGUGCUGGUGUUGAGCAAGGGACAGAAAUGAAGAGUGCAGUGCAUGCAGCAGGCAAAGCUGCACAAACCCCUUUUGGAAGGAGAUGGUCACUGUCACCAGCACAGGCUCCUACAUUAGCAUCCGCUGUCCUUAGGCUUGAAUCUCUCAGGAAAU
Molecule: long non-coding RNA, 247 nt
Filed under: Gallus gallus (chicken)
Lineage: Eukaryota; Metazoa; Chordata; Aves; Galliformes; Phasianidae
Description: long non-coding RNA NONGGAT002064
Source: RNAcentral